This 447-nucleotide ribosomal RNA is filed under the name uncultured bacterium. Its description in RNAcentral is "partial 16S ribosomal RNA". It matches the Rfam family "Bacterial small subunit ribosomal RNA", at positions 29 to 523 of the family's 1533-position model. The record is from RNAcentral.
AACGAACGCUGGCGGCAGGCUUAACACAUGCAAGUCGAACGCCCCGCAAGGGGAGUGGCAGACGGGUGAGUAACGCGUGGGAAUCUACCCAUCUCUGCGGAAUAGCUCCGGGAAACUGGAAUUAAUACCGCAUACGCCCUACGGGGGAAAGAUUUAUCGGGGAUGGAUGAGCCCGCGUUGGAUUAGCUAGUUGGUGGGGUAAAGGCCUACCAAGGCGACGAUCCAUAGCUGGUCUGAGAGGAUGAUCAGCCACAUUGGGACUGAGACACGGCCCAAACUCCUACGGGAGGCAGCAGUGGAGAAUAUUGGACAAUGGGCGCAAGCCUGAUCCAGCCAUGCCGCGUGAGUGAUGAAGGCCUUAGGGUUGUAAACCUCUUUCACCGGUGAAGAUAAUGACGGUAACCGGAGAAGAAGCCCCGGCUAACUUCGUGCCAGCCGCCGCGGUAA